UCUCUCCUGCAGGGCCUGCCCGGGAUCCGUGGAGAGCGCGGGGACAAGGGAGACGUUGGGGCCGUGGGGCCCAAAGGAGACAAGGGCGACACCGUCAUGGUGGAGGGGCCUGCUGGAGCGCGGGGCAGCAAGGGGGAGCCGG
Molecule: non-coding RNA, 142 nt
Organism: Tinamus guttatus (white-throated tinamou)
Lineage: Eukaryota; Metazoa; Chordata; Aves; Tinamiformes; Tinamidae
Source: RefSeq, a predicted model, not a curated record